AUCUCAGGCUUUAACAAGGAAGUACCCAUCCAAGUACUAACCAGGCUGGGCCAGGUUAGUACUUGGAUGGGAGACCUCCUAGAAAUCCAGGUGCCACAGUGU
Molecule: ribosomal RNA, 102 nt
Filed under: Periophthalmus magnuspinnatus
Lineage: Eukaryota; Metazoa; Chordata; Actinopteri; Gobiiformes; Gobiidae
Source: RNAcentral